This is a long non-coding RNA of Helianthus annuus (common sunflower), 465 nucleotides long. RefSeq lists it as uncharacterized. NCBI's taxonomy places the organism in Eukaryota, Viridiplantae, Streptophyta, Magnoliopsida, Asterales, Asteraceae. The record is from RefSeq and is a predicted model, not a curated record. The transcript is spliced from 2 exons.
UUUGUGGCUAAAAGAAAAAUGUGACUAUAACUAUUCUUUGGUCACAGACCAUCCACCCUCCACCUGCAAUUGGAACCCUAAUCCAUCACCUGCUACGAUAAGUUCAACUUCAUCGCUUAUCCAUUUUUGAGAAAAUUUUGAUAAUAUCCAAUAUCCACUGUUCAUCAACAUCGGUUGAAGCUCGUCUUGGUUUGACCUGUGCAAAGCGUUGCAGCUGCUCGAACUUCAAAACUGCUUUAAGACCACCCGUAGUGGAGUUUUUUUUUGGUGUUUUUCUCCAAAAAAAAAAACGCCCAAACACGCCUUGGGACCGCCCCGGGAGCAUCUUUCUUGAAAAAAAAGGGUGGGGCAUCCUAUUUUAAACGCCUGCACUUGAUUUUUUGGCCAAUAAGACUGUUGCCAACGCCUGGACUUGAUGUUUUGGCCAAUAGUUUUAAUUUGAAAAAAAGAGUAAUUGGGUAUUGA